Molecule: ribosomal RNA, 484 nt
Filed under: uncultured bacterium
Lineage: Bacteria
Description: partial 16S ribosomal RNA
Rfam family: Bacterial small subunit ribosomal RNA
Source: RNAcentral
AUUGAACGCUGGCGGCAGGCCUAACACAUGCAAGUCGAGCGGAUGAAGGGAGCUUGCUCCUGGAUUCAGCGGCGGACGGGUGAGUAAUGCCUAGGAAUCUGCCUGGUCGUGGGGGAUAACGUCCGGAAACGGGCGCUAAUACCGCAUACGCCCUGAGGGAGAAAGUGGGGGAUCUUCGGACCUCACGCUAUCAGAUGAGCCUAGGUCGGAUUAGCUAGUUGGUGGGGUAAAGGCCUACCAAGGCGACGAUCCGUAACUGGUCUGAGAGGAUGAUCAGUCACACUGGAACUGAGACACGGUCCAGACUCCUACGGGAGGCAGCAGUGGGGAAUAUUGGACAAUGGGCGAAAGCCUGAUCCAGCCAUGCCGCGUGUGUGAAGAAGGUCUUCGGAUUGUAAAGCACUUUAAGUUGGGAGGAAGGGCAGUAAGUUAAUACCUUGCUGUUUUGACGUUACCAACAGAAUAAGCACCGGCUAACUUCGUG